RNAcentral lists this ribosomal RNA (232 nucleotides) under Staphylococcus pseudintermedius. RNAcentral describes it as "partial 23S ribosomal RNA". It matches the Rfam family "Bacterial large subunit ribosomal RNA", at positions 2694 to 2925 of the family's 2925-position model. Lineage: Bacteria; Bacillati; Bacillota; Bacilli; Caryophanales; Staphylococcaceae. The record is from RNAcentral.
GGGAUGGACAUACCUCUGGUGUACCAGUUGUCGUGCCAACGGCAUAGCUGGGUAGCUAUGUAUGGACGGGAUAAGUGCUGAAAGCAUCUAAGCAUGAAGCCCCCCUCGAGAUGAGAUUUCCCAACUUCGGUUAUAAGAUCCCUCAAAGAUGAUGAGGUGAAUAGGUUCGAGGUGGAAGCGUAGUGAUACGUGGAGCUGACGAAUACUAAUCGAUCGAAGACUUAAUCAACAU